GAUGAACGCUGGCGGCGUGCCUAAUACAUGCAAGUCGAGCGAACAGAUGAGGAGCUUGCUCCUCUGACGUUAGCGGCGGACGGGUGAGUAACACGUGGAUAACCUACCUAUAAGACUGGGAUAACUUCGGGAAACCGGAGCUAAUACCGGAUAAUAUAUUGAACCGCAUGGUUCAAUAGUGAAAGACGGUUUUGCUGUCACUUAUAGAUGGAUCCGCGCCGCAUUAGCUAGUUGGUAAGGUAACGGCUUACCAAGGCAACGAUGCGUAGCCGACCUGAGAGGGUGAACUGCCACACGGGAUCUGAGACUCGGUCCAGACUCUUACGGUGGGCAGCGGUACAGAAUCUUCCGCAAUGGGCGAGUGCGUGACAGUGCAACGCCGCGGGAGUGCUGAUGGUGUUCGGAUGGUAAAACUAAGUUGUUUGGCAGGUACUAAUGUGCAGUUAUCUAGGAACGUCUUGACGGUACCUAAUCAGAAAGCCCCGGCUAACUACGUG
This 497-nucleotide ribosomal RNA is filed under the name uncultured bacterium. RNAcentral's name for it is "partial 16S ribosomal RNA". It matches the Rfam family "Bacterial small subunit ribosomal RNA", at positions 28 to 507 of the family's 1533-position model. The record is from RNAcentral.